CCCACAAGUAAUGAAGAUACAGCAUGUCCUGCAUAAUAUCUUGAACAAAUUCUUCCAACACAAAGCAUUUUCCUGCAACAGGUAACAAGGGUCAAACAGAAAGAACUUAAAACAAUGAGUCAAUGUUAUUUUUGAAUGCAGCAGAUUAAAAUUUUAGAAUUGAUGGACUUCAAUAACACCCUAUCUCAACUGGGAGGACAGUAAGCAAAACAAGGCUUCGCAGGAGGAAAUCAGAACGCUACUUAGCAAGACAGACAACUGAAACUGGGCAGAUGACAUAGCCAUUUUAGCUAAAGGGGUGAAUUGCAAGCAAAGGCUUUACAUGUGCAGUCAUAUAUGAAAACCUUUCCAUGUUAAUGUUUGUAUCAUAAUAAUUGGUUUAGCACUCUGCAUUGAGAAUGUAUCUUUUUGGCCCAGUUUGGGUGGGGGGGGGGGGGGGGGGGGGGGGGGGGUGCGCAAAAAGAGGCACUAAAACGCCUUCAGCGCUAGGUGGACGGGUAACGCUUUGCUCUGCAGCACAAGUGCCCCCAGAGCGGCGCGACCGCCUUGGCGGAGCAGCAUCUACUGGAGGCGCCGUUGACGGCCCACCGGAGGGGAGAGAAGAGCGGGGGCACGCACGCAGGGUUGCCGCCGGUGUGCGGAGGACUGGAGGCGAGGGCGUGACCGCGCGAGGCUACGGGUAGGAGGGGCAGCCAGUGACGACGCCGCCGAGCCUGCCUGCCGAGCGCGAGUGGGAGAGGGAGCGGAAGAUGAAGAUUGAAGAAGCCGGC
RNAcentral lists this long non-coding RNA (770 nucleotides) under Zea mays. RNAcentral describes it as "long non-coding RNA (ZMAY_LNC002984)". Lineage: Eukaryota; Viridiplantae; Streptophyta; Magnoliopsida; Poales; Poaceae. The record is from RNAcentral.